CGUCGCCUCGGCCUCCUUCGCUCCCGAUGCGAGUUACGACGGCCUCAGCCGACGCCUCCCUCGCUCGCCGUCCCUGUGUUCCCUCUCCUCACUUUAGUGAUGGCAUCUCGCGUUGUAAGGGAGGAGGAGCUCGAGGUAGGCGACUUGGGGAAGGGAAGAUCGUUGGGGGCAAUGGAUAUGGGGAAGGCCGAACGUGAUUCCUCCUUCCUUCUUUGACCGAAGUUAUUGAACCAAUUUCUUCUGUACUUCAAACGGUGUGGUGUUGGAGGUGGUUUUGUAUUUGUUCUUUGCAGAUCCGGCAAUUACUAUUGAUUUUGUGCAAAAUUUGGUAGAUCGAUCUGGUUAGCAGUUUUUUUAACACAACCAAUUGACUGGGUGGUACGAUGUGUUCUAUUAAUUGAUUUGGUCAAUCUGGUUAGCGCUUC
Phragmites australis (common reed) is the source of this 425-nucleotide long non-coding RNA. RefSeq lists it as uncharacterized. The transcript has 2 exons. The record is from RefSeq and is a predicted model, not a curated record. Lineage: Eukaryota; Viridiplantae; Streptophyta; Magnoliopsida; Poales; Poaceae.